CACACGACUCUCGGCAACGGAUAUCUUGGCUCUCGCAUCGAUGAAGAACGUAGCGAAAUGCGAUACCUGGUGUGAAUUGCAGAAUCCCGCGAACCAUCGAGUCUUUGAACGCAAGUUGCGCCCAAGGCCUCUUGGCUGAGGGCACGCCUGCCUGGGCGUCACGC
This 164-nucleotide ribosomal RNA is filed under the name Puccinellia frigida. RNAcentral describes it as "5.8S ribosomal RNA". It matches the Rfam family "5.8S ribosomal RNA". Rfam says of the family: 5.8S ribosomal RNA (5.8S rRNA) is a component of the large subunit of the eukaryotic ribosome. Lineage: Eukaryota; Viridiplantae; Streptophyta; Magnoliopsida; Poales; Poaceae. The record is from RNAcentral.